RNAcentral lists this ribosomal RNA (497 nucleotides) under uncultured bacterium. RNAcentral's name for it is "partial 16S ribosomal RNA". It matches the Rfam family "Bacterial small subunit ribosomal RNA", at positions 28 to 507 of the family's 1533-position model. The record is from RNAcentral.
GAUGAACGCUGGCGGCGUGCCUAAUACAUGCAAGUCGAGCGAACAGACGAGGAGCUUGCUCCUCUGACGUUAGCGGCGGACGGGUGAGUAACACGUGGAUAACCUACCUAUAAGACUGGGAUAACUUCGGGAAACCGGAGCUAAUACCGGAUAAUAUAUUGAACCGCAUGGUUCAAUAGUGAAAGACGGUUUUGCUGUCACUUAUAGAUGGAUCCGCGCCGCAUUAGCUAGUUGGUAAGGUAACGGCUUACCAAGGCAACGAUGCGUAGCCGACCUGAGAGGGUGAUCGGCCACACUGGAACUGAGACACGGUCCAGACUCCUACGGGAGGCAGCAGUAGGGAAUCUGACGCAAUGGGCGAAAGCCUGACGGAGCAACGCCGCGUGAGUGAUGAAGGUCUUCGGAUCGUAAAACUCUGUUAUUAGGGAAGAACAAAUGUGUAAGUAACUAUGCACGUCUUGACGGUACCGAAUCAGAAAGCCACGGCUAACUACGUG